GAUGAACGCUAGCUACAGGCUUAACACAUGCAAGUCGCAGGGUAACAUGAGGAAAGCUUGCUUUCCUUGAUGACGACUGGCGCACGGGUGAGUAACGCGUAUCCAACCUUCCCAUAACUACGGGAUAACCCGUUGAAAGACGGCCUAAUACCGUAUGAUAUCGUUUGCUGACAUCAAAUAACGAUUAAAGGUUUAGCGGUUAUGGAUGGGGAUGCGUCUGAUUAGCUUGUUGGCGGGGUAACGGCCCAUCAAGGCGACGAUCAGUAGGGGUUCUGAGAGGAAGGUCCCCCAGCUUGGAACUGAGACACCGUCCAAACUCCUACGGGAGGCAGCAGUGAGGAAUAGUGGGCAAUGGGCGAGAGCCUGAACCAGCCAAGUAGCGUGCAGGACGACGGCCCUAUGGGUUGUAAACUGCUUUUAUGUGGGGAUAAAGUGCGUGACGUGUCAUGCAUUGCAGGUACCACAUGAAUAAGAACCGGCUAAUUCCGUG
RNAcentral lists this ribosomal RNA (490 nucleotides) under uncultured bacterium. RNAcentral's name for it is "partial 16S ribosomal RNA". It matches the Rfam family "Bacterial small subunit ribosomal RNA", at positions 28 to 507 of the family's 1533-position model. The record is from RNAcentral.